Long non-coding RNA from Etheostoma spectabile (orangethroat darter), 161 nucleotides. RefSeq lists it as uncharacterized. NCBI's taxonomy places the organism in Eukaryota, Metazoa, Chordata, Actinopteri, Perciformes, Percidae. The record is from RefSeq and is a predicted model, not a curated record. The transcript is spliced from 4 exons.
UCCUCCUUCAGUUCCUGUUCUCUUGAUGAUUUCUGCAUUGAUGAGACCGAUGUUUCCAUCCUGCAGUGCUUUCAACCAAGAAUAAAAUCAACUCAAAAAGCGAUGAAGUGAUUGAGUCAACAAUAAUGAACCACAUGGGAACAUUACUGUAGAGUAAAAUG